Molecule: long non-coding RNA, 1184 nt
Organism: Dreissena polymorpha
Lineage: Eukaryota; Metazoa; Mollusca; Bivalvia; Myida; Dreissenidae
Exons: 3
Source: RefSeq, a predicted model, not a curated record
CGUCAUUUCCCUUUAGCGUGAUAUGAAAAACAACGGUUACGCAGAAAGAAUUUUUUGAGGAAGGCGCAUGUUUCAAAUAAGAAAAAAGAUGCAGUUUAAAUCAAACGCAGAAAAAGCCGAGUACUAUAAAAAAAGAAAAAGAAAAAAAGAAAGAAAAAGAAAAUUAAAACAUUACCGAAACAAUAGUGACAAAAUUAACUCGUCAAAACGGGAAAACAGAUUAGGCAUCCCUAUUCCUGCAACAAGAGCUCGGUCAGAAUGAAUGAGAUGGAAAACACCGCAGACCUCAUAACAGAAGGAGACACUGUGGCCGUCGUUGCGGCGGAUGAAAAUGAUGAUAACUUCUUGUUAAAGGUAACUCGUACUCCAUACACAUUGCGAGCAGAGGGUACAGAUGACUGCGGUAAUACUUUCCCAAAAGGAGCACGUGUUGUAGGAGGGUAUUACUACAAAUCGACGGAGUCCGCCUUUAAGAUCGUAAGAGGGAAAAAGCCCUUGUGUAUUCGGUGGCGGUUUGUUACAUUUUGGACGAGAAAGACAAAAACGGAAGUAAAAGCGUAGAUGGGAACCUCCACCUUGACAUUCUGAACAGUUUGAACAUUUUAGAUGUUUGAUGAUAACAAUAAUUUUAAGACAGAACAAAACAUAAAUUUGAUUCAUUAAUGAUAAGUAUUUACGAGUUGUUCGUCAUCGCAUCCAAAACCAUUGGAAGCUUAUACCGUACUAUUUAACUACACUUAUAACUACUAAAAAUUGUAAUUAAUAAAUAACUUUAUCUGAGCCCAAACCAUUGUCACCUUCGAUUCAAAAUGUAUACUUUUUUGUUGCGGGAGUUAUUAUUAUACAUGCGUGGUGAGUUGAUAUAUAUCUGCUGUUUCUUGUGUUUAUAUGUGAAGAUGUGAAAUUUCAAAUUAUGUAACUGUCUAGAACUUUGUCGGUCCGUGUAAUGUACAUGUAUUAUUAAGUUGGGUGCAUUAUGUAUAUUAUGUUAUGUCAUGCCUUUCUUAUAAUUAUGUUGAUGUUAAUAAGCAACUUAAUUAAUGCUGUAUCAGUAUGUAGCCUCUUGUAGUUCUUCACAGGACACUGACAUUCUUUUCAUACCACAUAUGAUACUUUUAUGUGCAAAUUGUUAUAUUAACUUUGUAAAUUUGCACAAGACUGAAAUAAAUGGAUAAGUUGAUGUA